This 336-nucleotide long non-coding RNA is filed under the name Eucalyptus grandis. Its description in RNAcentral is "long non-coding RNA (EGRA_LNC001987)". Lineage: Eukaryota; Viridiplantae; Streptophyta; Magnoliopsida; Myrtales; Myrtaceae. The record is from RNAcentral.
GGUAUGCACUGCCGGUUUCAGCUAAAUCCUUCUUAAUUUGCAAAAUCCUUGCCUAGAUUCCGGCUUUAGUAGAAGGAUCAGUAACAAGGAUCCGUGACCAGGCCGGCGUAACCAGCUUCGGCAAAGGAUAAUCAAUGAGCGGCCGAGAGAGAUCCGUCAAAGAGACGGAGCAUAAGGAUGAGACCGCCCGCAGUACUACUUACCGACUCACCGACCAGCAGCGGGCAGCGGAAAACGGCGACACGGAGCGGUCACCGCGCAAGGUGAGGGACGCGUUCAGCUGACAAGAGAGGAGAAUCUGGUGGCAGUGGACAUGGGGCGCUGCUUGCCGAGGAG